Molecule: ribosomal RNA, 479 nt
Filed under: uncultured bacterium
Lineage: Bacteria
Description: partial 16S ribosomal RNA
Rfam family: Bacterial small subunit ribosomal RNA
Source: RNAcentral
GACGAACGCUGGCGGCGUGCUUAACACAUGCAAGUCGAACGAAGCUUGAUUACGGAUUCUUCGGAUGAAGUAUGAUAUGACUGAGUGGCGGACGGGUGAGUAACGCGUGAGUAACCUGCCCUUCAGAGGGGGAUAGCGUUUGGAAACGAACGGUAAUACCGCAUAAUGUAUUUUGACCGCAUGAUCGAAAUACCAAAGAUUUAUCGCUGAAGGAUGGACUCGCGGCUGAUUAGGUAGUUGGUGGGGUAACGGCCUACCAAGCCGACGAUCAGUAGCCGGACUGAGAGGUUGAUCGGCCACAUUGGGACUGAGACACGGCCCAGACUCCUACGGGAGGCAGCAGUGGGGAAUAUUGCACAAUGGGCGCAAGCCUGAUGCAGCAACGCCGCGUGAAGGAAGACGGUUUUCGGAUUGUAAACUUCUGUUCUUAGUGAAGAAUAAUGACGGUAGCUAAGGAGCAAGCCACGGCUAACUACGUG